This 468-nucleotide ribosomal RNA is filed under the name uncultured bacterium. RNAcentral describes it as "partial 16S ribosomal RNA". It matches the Rfam family "Bacterial small subunit ribosomal RNA", at positions 28 to 507 of the family's 1533-position model. The record is from RNAcentral.
GACGAACGCUGGCGGCGUGCUUAACACAUGCAAGUCGAACGGAAAGGCCCUGCUUUUGUGGGGUGCUCGAGUGGCGAACGGGUGAGUAACACGUGAGUAACCUGCCCUUGACUUUUGGAUAACUUCAGGAAACUGGGGCUAAUACCGGAUAGGAGCUCCUGCUGCAUGGUGGGGGUUGGAAAGUUUCGGCGGUUGGGGAUGGACUCGCGGCUUAUCAGCUUGUUGGUGGGGUAGUGGCUUACCAAGGCUUUGACGGGUAGCCGGCCUGAGAGGGUGACCGGCCACAAUGGGACUGAGAGACGGCCCAGACUCCUACGGGAGGCAGCAGUGGGGAAUAUUGCACAAUGGGCGGAAGCCUGAUGCAGCAACGCCGCGUGCGGGAUGACGGCCUUCGGGUUGUAAACCGCUUUCGCCUGUGACGAAGCGUGAGUGACGGUAAUGGGUAAAGAAGCACCGGCUAACUACGUG